CGGAGUGGCAGACGGGUGAGUAACGCGUGGGAACAUACCCUUCGGUUCGGAAUAACUCAGGGAAACUUGGGCUAAUACCGGAUACGUCCGCRAGGAGAAAGAUUUAUCGCCGAAGGAUUGGCCCGCGUCUGAUUAGCUUGUUGGUGAGGUAAUGGCUCACCAAGGCGACGAUCAGUAGCUGGUCUGAGAGGAUGAUCAGCCACAUUGGGACUGAGACACGGCCCAAACUCCUACGGGAGGCAGCAGUGGGGAAUAUUGGACAAUGGGCGCAAGCCUGAUCCAGCCAUGCCGCGUGAGUGAUGAAGGCCCUAGGGUUGUAAAGCUCUUUUACCCGGGAAGAUAAUGACGGUACCGGGAGAAUAAGCCCCGGCUAACUUCGUGCCAGCAGCCGCGGUAAUACGAAGGGGGCUAGCGUUGUUCGGAAUCACUGGGCGUAAAGCGCACGUAGGCGGAUCUUUAAGUCAGGGGUGAAAUCCCGGGGCUCAACCUCGGAACUGCCUUUGAUACUGGRGAUCUCGAGUCCGGGAGAGGUGAGUGGAACUGCGAGUGUAGAGGUGAAAUUCGUAGAUAUUCGCAAGAACACCAGUGGCGAAGGCGGCUCACUGGCCCGGUACUGACGCUGAGGUGCGAAAGCGU
This 636-nucleotide ribosomal RNA is filed under the name uncultured bacterium. RNAcentral describes it as "bacterial SSU rRNA". It matches the Rfam family "Bacterial small subunit ribosomal RNA", at positions 91 to 762 of the family's 1533-position model. The record is from RNAcentral.